CGGACGGGUGAGUAACACGUGGAUAACCUACCUAUAAGACUAGGAUAACUUCGGGAAACCGGAGCUAAUACCGGAUAAUAUAUUGAACCGCAUGGUUCAAUAGUGAAAGACGGUUUUGCUGUCACUUAUAGAUGGAUCCGCGCCGCAUUAGCUAGUUGGUAAGGUAACGGCUUACCAAGGCAACGAUGCGUAGCCGACCUGAGAGGGUGAUCGGCCACACUGGAACUGAGGCACGGUCCAG
RNAcentral lists this ribosomal RNA (241 nucleotides) under uncultured Staphylococcus sp. Its description in RNAcentral is "partial 16S ribosomal RNA". It matches the Rfam family "Bacterial small subunit ribosomal RNA", at positions 99 to 334 of the family's 1533-position model. Lineage: Bacteria; Bacillati; Bacillota; Bacilli; Caryophanales; Staphylococcaceae. The record is from RNAcentral.